AGCGAACGCUGGCGGCAGGCCUAACACAUGCAAGUCGAACGAACUCUUCGGAGUUAGUGGCGGACGGGGGAGUAACACGGGGGAACGUGCCUUUAGGUUCGGAAUAACUCAGGGAAACUUGUGCUAAUACCGAAUGGGCCCUUCGGGGGAAAGAUUUAUCGCCUUUAGAGCGGCCCGCGUCUGAUUAGCUGGGUGGGGAGGUAAAGGCACACCAAGGCGACGAUCAGUAGCUGGUCGGAGAGGAUGAUCAGCCAGAUUGGGACUGAGACACGGCCCAAACUCCUACGGGGGGCAGCAGUGGGGAAUCUUGCGCGAUGAGCGAAAGCCUGACGCAGCCGUGCCGCGUGAAUGGUGAAGGUCUUAGGAUUGUAAAAUUCUUUCACCGGAGACGUUAGUGACGGUACCCGGAGAAGAAGCCCCGGCUAACUACGUG
RNAcentral lists this ribosomal RNA (433 nucleotides) under uncultured bacterium. RNAcentral's name for it is "partial 16S ribosomal RNA". It matches the Rfam family "Bacterial small subunit ribosomal RNA", at positions 29 to 507 of the family's 1533-position model. The record is from RNAcentral.